AGUGAACGCUGGCGGUAGGCCUAACACAUGCAAGUCGAACGGCAGCACAGUAAGAGCUUGCUCUUACGGGUGGCGAGUGGCGGACGGGUGAGGAAUACAUCGGAAUUUACUUUUUCGUGGGGGAUAACGUAGGGAAACUUACGCUAAUACCGCAUACGACCUACGGGUGAAAGCAGGGGAUCUUCGGACCUUGCGCGAUUGAAUGAGCCGAUGUCGGAUUAGCUAGUUGGCGGGGUAAAGGCCCACCAAGGCGACGAUCCGUAGCUGGUCUGAGAGGAUGAUCAGCCACACUGGAACUGAGACACGGUCCAGACUCCUACGGGAGGCAGCAGUGGGGAAUAUUGGACAAUGGGCGCAAGCCUGAUCCAGCCAUACCGCGUGGGUGAAGAAGGCCUUCGGGUUGUAAAGCCCUUUUGUUGGGAAAGAAAAGCAGCAGGUUAAUACCCCGCUGUCCUGACGGUACCCAAAGAAUAAGCACCGGCUAACUUCGUG
RNAcentral lists this ribosomal RNA (492 nucleotides) under uncultured bacterium. Its description in RNAcentral is "partial 16S ribosomal RNA". It matches the Rfam family "Bacterial small subunit ribosomal RNA", at positions 29 to 507 of the family's 1533-position model. The record is from RNAcentral.